RNAcentral lists this ribosomal RNA (212 nucleotides) under Thelonectria westlandica. RNAcentral's name for it is "partial large subunit ribosomal RNA". The record is from RNAcentral. Lineage: Eukaryota; Fungi; Ascomycota; Sordariomycetes; Hypocreales; Nectriaceae.
AAGCGCUCAUGACCAGACGUGGGCCUGUCGGAUCAUCCUGGGUUCUCCCGGGUGCACUCCUUCAGUCCCAGGCCAGCAUCAGUUCGCCUCGGGGGACAAAGGCUUCGGGAAUGUGGCUCCCCUCGGGGAGUGUUAUAGCCCGUUGCGUAAUACCCUGCGGCGGACUGAGGACCGCGCAUCUGCAAGGAUGCUGGCGUAAUGGUCAUCAGCGA